Long non-coding RNA from Oncorhynchus tshawytscha (Chinook salmon), 7769 nucleotides. NCBI's taxonomy places the organism in Eukaryota, Metazoa, Chordata, Actinopteri, Salmoniformes, Salmonidae. The record is from Ensembl.
AAAUGACUUGUGUCAUGCACAAAGUAGGUGUUAUAACAGAUUUGCCAAAACUAUAGUUUGUUAACAAUACAUUUGAGGAGUGGUUGAAAAACAAGUUUAAUUGACUGCAACAUUUGUUUCUAAAAACAGAAAGAAAUCAUUCUAAAUAACGAACUGGCUUUAUUUACUACAGUGUGAAAGUGUGAUUGCCUCUCUAUAAAGUGAUUUUCUGAAACAAGGGGUCCUUCUACUUCACUUAUUAAGCUACUUCACGUAUUUAUGUAAUGCACUAGUUUAUUUAGGCAACUUAAUAUAUUUGUUUAGGCUUGGCCUAUUUAGUAGGUUAUUUCACAGCAUAAAGCUAUAUUUGUUGGCAUAAAGCUGAGUGACUCACUCAUUUGUGGCUUUGGAUCAAAAUAAAUUAGUACCAACAUUAUUUAUAAUCGUCUUCAAUAAAGAAAUGUUUUGACCAAGUGUUGUGUUUGUUCAAUUAUUCGUGACAUUGUGGUUACAAGGAAAAUUCUAAACAAAAUAAAUCAAAUAAAUCCUAAAAUCAGAUGCGUGUUGCAAGCUUGUCAUUUUUCCUUAUUUACAUUUUUUUUACAAUUUUAUUUCAUCUUUAUAAACAAUACCAAACAUACACAUACAAACAACAACUACAUAACAUCUGCCCAGACCCAUCUGCUCACACCCCAUCAUCUCCAGCGCCCACAUCACUCUCCACCACAUGGCCUCAAACUGCACCAUUUUGUGUUUAACCUUCUGAAUGAAUGAUUAUAUUGAAGAUAGAAGCCACCUCUUAAUGAGUUCUGAGUGCCGAUCAGUUACCCAACAAAAUAAUACCAAUUUAUUUGAACGUGGUACCUUCAGUAUAGAAUAUGUCAGGGAUCAACACAUUGAGUAUAUAAUAUGUCAGGGAUCAACACAUUGAGUAUAGAAUAUGUCAGGGAUAAACACAUUGAGUAUAUAAUAUGUCAGUGAUCAACACAUUGAGUAUAUAAUAUGUCAGGGAUCAACACAUUGAGUAUAUAAUAUGUCAGGGAUAAACACAUUGAGUAUAUAAUAUGUCAGGGAUAAACACAUUGAGUAUAUAAUAUGUCAGGGAUCAACACAUUGAGUAUAUAAUAUGUCAGGGAUCAACACAUUGAGUAUAUAAUAUGUCAGGGAUAAACACAUUGAGUAUAUAAUAUGUCAGGGAUCAACACAUUGAUAUAAAAUAUGUCAGGGAUCAACACAUUGAGUAUAGAAUAUGUAAGGGAUCAACACAUUGAGUAUAGAAUAUGUAAGGGAUCAACACAUUGAGUAUAUAAUAUGUCAGGGAUCAACACAUUGAGUAUAUAAUAUGUCAGGGAUCAACACAUUGAGUAUAUAAUAUGUCAGGGAUCAACACAUUGAGUAUAUAAUAUGUCAGGGAUCAACACAUUGAGUAUAGAAUAUGUAAGGGAUCAACACAUUGAGUAUAUAAUAUGUCAGGGAUCAACACAUUGAGUAUAUAAUAUGUCAGGGAUCAACACAUUGAGUAUAUAAUAUGUCAGGGAUCAACACAUUGAGUAUAUAAUAUGUAAGGGAUAAACACAUUGAGUAUAGAAUAUGUAAGGGAUAAACAUCUAGGAGCUAUGAGUUCUCUGAGCAUCAUGGUGCAUCUAAUACGGAGUUGCAUUUUUUCAGACAACUGAUAGACCCUAAAUGUUUAACCUGCUUAUACCACGUUCAUCACGUCAGUAAACAUAAGAGUAAUAACUAUGGCAAAACUACUGAUACUAACAACUACUGAUUAAUAAGCUACUGAAAAUGUGAUACAUUUUUAUAGCCAAUUGUUUUGAAUGGUUUACCAUCAUGUCACAACAACUGCUUACGACUCUUCUCAGCAGUCAGAUUCAGCUUGUGCGAUCUCUUAGAGCCAACAUUUUGUAGUUCUCCAUGUUUUUCAACUGCUCACUGACAUCUGAAGUAAAUCACAAGCAUAACCUUCGGUCAGAAGUCAGGUAGGGGAUAUAGAACACAACAGGGCUAACAUAAGAAUAGAGCAAUCUGUCAUUUACCUGGGAGAGAUAAACUGUUAGGUGUCUUCAGGGACCGCUUCAAUGACUCCAGUAGUUCGGUUCUCAGCGUCUGCUCUAUGUAUUCCUAUAACACAUCAAAUGUAGUCUGAUCACUAUUCCAUGUUUUUUGCUGUCAUUUUGUGUUGAUUAAUCAUUUUAAUGGUGAUAUAAAAUCUACAAACCCUCAGGUUCUCAAAACCUUCCAACAUCUUUUUCUGAGCAUUGUCAAACAUGAGGUUUUCGAUGAGUCGAUGUGCUUGACCAGCAGUUCCUGAGUCUUCGUCAAGGUUCCCUUUCCAGAUAUGUUUGAAGCCUCUUAAAACAUGAGAUGAUCUAUUAUACAUGAUACAUACACUGAGCAUACAAAACAUUAGGAACAAGAGCCUCAAUUCAUUAGGGUAUGGACUCCACAAGGUGUUGAAAACGUUCCACAGGGAUGCUGGCCCAAGGUUGACUUCAAUGUUUCCCACAGUUGUGUCAAGUUGGCUGGAUGUCCUUUGGGUGGUGGACCAUUUUUGAUACACACGGGAAACUGUUGAGAAUGGAAAACCCAGCAGCUUUGCAGUUCUUGACACACAAACCGGUGUGCCUGGCACCUACUACCAUACCUGGUUCAAAGGCACUGACAUCUUUUGUUUUGCCUGUUCACCCUGAAUGGCACACAUACACAAUACAUGUCUCAGUUGUCUCAAGACUUCAAAAUCCUCCUUUAACCUGUCUCCUCCCUUUCAUCUACUGUGUGAAGUUCAUUUAACAAGUGACAUCAAUAGGGGAUCAUAGCUCUCAGCUGCAUUCACCUGGUUAGUCUAUGUCAUGGAAAGUGAAUGGAAACGUUUUGUACACUAAGUGUAUGUAUUAUCCACUUCAAUACAACAGUCGUAAGGAAAAAUGGAUUGUAAUAAAGUAAUCAUCACAGCUAGGUUUAAAUAAUCAAAUAUUUAAUUAGAAGGUUUGGUAUUACCUUUAGUCAAAUCUUGCUGUCUAAUGAUUCUUAGUUCCUCAUAAUCAAACUGGUGACUCACCCUCAUAACAUGGGCACAUUAUGGUCUUGACUUCGUCAGUCAGAGAUUCAUAAAUCACUUUCUUCUUCAGGAGGACAUCUCGCUUCAGUCUAUCCUUCAAAACAUUUUCCUUUUAGAUGUAGAAGAGAUUUAAAAUUCAGGCACAUUUUUGUCUUGUAAUUAAUGUGCCUUGCUUUUCUGUUAUUAUUAUUAUUCUUUGGCCCACUAUUGCUCAACUGUUUAAUCUCUUCAAAAUGCAUAUGAGUUGACACUUAAUAGCCACAUUUUGUUACUAAUAGCAUUCUCACUUAACAUUAAACUAUUAUUGUUCCUGUGUAAUAAACAAAUGACUUUGAGCAUUUUAUUAUCAUGUUGUUUCAUAAUACUUUGGUUAUUGCAUUUUAAUUGCAUAGUAAUGAGCUGAAAGUUUUGUUACUACCAUACACACAUUUUCCUAUUUUCACUUAUGUAAUAAGUAAUAACAUUUUAGGACAGUUUCAAAAGUCUUAUGUAACAACAAUGUUGCUAUACUUAUAAUCACAAAAUGUUUACACGUUUACGAACUUGAUGUAAAAUGUUACUGUAUUACCCUAUGUCUCAUUCAUUGUGAAAAUGUAUAUUUGUUAGGAAUUUUGAAUCUGCAAAAGUGGUUAACUGUAAUGUUGAGGUGAUUCCAUGUCCGUUAAUUGUAGGCUAAAGGCUAUAUUAAGUUUCUUAUCUAAGAGCCCUCCGAACCAUGUGCUUAUAAUUAUAUAGUUAGACUUAUUCAACUAACUUUUGUCGUUUUUGGUUCUUCAUCAAUAUUUGCCAUAAUUGCAUAUAUUCAAAUAUGCUUUUAGUUGAAACUCUAUAUAAACUAUACUGAACAAAAAUAUAAAUGCAACAUGCAACAGAUUUGACUGAGUUACAGUUCAUAUAAGGAAAUCAGUCAAUUUAAAUCCCAAUCUAUGGAUUUCACAUGACUGGGAAUACAGAUAUGCAUCGGUUGGUCACAGAUACCAUAAAAAAAAAAGGUAGGGCGUCGAUCAGAAAACCAGUCAGUAUCUGGUUUGACCACCAAGACAGUAGUGACCACCAAGACAGAGUGACCAGCAAAACAGUAGUGAAGAGGGCAUGACAACCUAUUCCCCCUCAGGAGACUGAAAAAAUUUGGCUUGUGUCCUCAGAUCCUCAAAAAGUUCUACAGCUGCACCAUCGAGAGGAUCCUGACCAGUUGCUUCACCGCCUGGUAUGGCAACGGCUUGGCAUCUGACUGUAAGGUGCUACAGAUGGUAGUGAGUACGGCCCAGUACAUCACUGGGGCUAAGCUUCCUACCAUCCAGGACCUACAUACUAGGCGCUAUCAGAGGAAGGCCCCAAAAAAUGUCAAAGACUCCAGUCACCCAAGUCAUAGAUUCUUCUCUUUGCUACCGCACGGCAAGCGGUACCGGAGUGCCAAGUCUUGGACCAAAAGGCUUCUUAACAGCUUCUACCCCCAAGCCAUAAGACAGCUGAACAAUUAGUCAAAAGGCCAUCUGGACUAUUUACAUUGACACGCCUCCUUCCCAUUGUUUUUACACUGCUGCUACUCACUGUUUAUUAUCUAUGCAUAGUCACUUUACCCCUACCUACAUGUACAAAAUAACUCAACUAACCUGUACCCCCGCACAUUGACUCAGUACCGGUACCCCUUGUGUAUUGCCUCGUUAUUGUUCAUUUUUAUUGCGUUGCUUUGUAUUUUUAUUUGACUAUUUUUACUUUAGUUUAUUUAAUAAAUAUUUUCUUAACUCUUUCUUGAACUGCAUUGUUGGUGAAGGUCUGUAAGUAAGCAUUUCACUGUAAGGUCUACUACACCUGUCUUAUUCAGAGCAUGUGACAAAUAACAUUUGAUUUGAUUUGAUUUGCCUCACGCAGUGCGACAUCUUCUUUGCAUAGAGUUGAUCAGGCUGUUGAUUGUGGCCUGUGGAAUGUUGUCCCUCUCCUCUUCAAUGUCUGUGUGAAGUCGCUGGACAUUGGCGGGAACUGGAAUAUGCUGUCGUACACGUCGAUUCAGAGCAUCCCAAACAUGCUCAAUGGGUGACAUGUAUGAUGAAGAACUGAGACAUUUUACGGUUCCAGAGAUCCUUGCGUCUUGGGGCCGUGCAUUAUCAUGCUGAAAUAUGAGGUGAUGGCAGUGGAUGAAUGGCACGACAUGGGCCCUCUAUCAGGAAUCAAGGUAAGACCCAAGUGCAGACUGUGUGAAGUAACAAUGAUUACUGUAACCAUCGGGGGAAGGCAAACGACAGGUCAAGGCAGGCAGGCUCAGGGUCAGGAACAGGCAGAGUUCAGUAAUCCAGAGGUGGAGCAAAGGUACAGGACGGCAGGCAGACUCAGGGUCAAGGACGGGCAGAGUGGUCAGGCGGGCAGGUACAGGGUCAGGGCAGGCAAGGGUCAAAAACCAGGAGGAUGAGAAAAAGAGAGGCUGGGAAAAGACAGGAGAUGACAGGACGAACACUGGUAAGCUUGACAAACAAGACAAAUUGGCAACAGACAAACAGAAAAAAACAGUUAUAAGUGCACAGGGGAUAAUGGGCGACGCCUGGAGGGGGUGGAGACAAUCACAAAUACAGGUGAAACAGAUCAGGGCCAGCCUCAGGGUCAGCCUUAGGAUCUCGUCACGGUAUCACUGCACAUUCAAAUUGCCAUCGAUAAAAUGCAAUUGUGUCCGUUGUCUGUAGUUUAUGCUUGCCCAUACCAUAACCCCACUGCCACCAUGGAGCACUCUGAUAACAACGUUAACAUCAGGAAAUUGCCCACACUACACCAUGGUCUGCGGUUGUGAGGCAGGUUUGACAUAUUGCCAAAUUCUCUAAAACAACGUGGGUGGUGGCUUAUGGUAGAGAAAUUAACAUUAAAUUAUCUGGCAACAGCUCUGGUGGACCUCCAUGCAGUCAGCAUGUCAAUUCUUCAGACAUCUGUAGUAUUGUUGUGUGACAAAACUGCACAUUUUGAAGUGGCCUUUUAUUGUCCCCAGUACAAGGUGCACCAGUGUAAUGAUCAUGCUGUUUAAUCAGUUUCUUGAUAGGCCACACAUGUCAGGUGGAUGGCAACGGAGAAAUGCUCACUAACAGGGAUAUAAACAAAUUUGUGCACAGAAUUUUUGCAAAAUAAGCUUUUUGUGAGUAUGGAACAUUUCUGGGAUCUUUUAUUCAUGCUCAUGAAACAUGGGACCAACACUUUACAUGUUGCAACUAUUCAGCUAAGUAAUUGAAAAUAUUAUAUAUUCAAAUAAACUACAAAAUACAACUAUAUUCUGCCCAAACUACAAAAUACAACUAUUUUCUAAUACUGUAAACACUUUAACUUCUGACAAAAAUUUAGACCACUUUCCCAACAAGUUAGGCAAUAACUUAGAGACUAUGAAAUAUUUGUCUAUGCCUCUGCUGUUCAGCAAUCAGACUACCAAUCCACAAAACACAUGUUUUAGUAACUGUGUAAAAUACUGUUUUCUCUCAACCUUUAGAAACUGCUAUUUUAACCACCUUCCCAACAACUUAGACAGACAAUUUAGAAUUUACAGAAUCUUUGGCUAUUUCUCUGCUAUUCUAAUUAUCAAUCAGAACAGAAAUAUCCUGAACCAAUUAAGAGAUGCAUCUAUUUUAGUAACUGCAUCCAACUAUUUAAAUAAUUGCCAUGGAACAUUCAGAAUGUUUUAAUUAUAGCAUAGGGAGAGAACAUUAUAAGACUUGAUUGACCACACAGCUCACUCCAACUCACUAAAAUAACAAACCCACACUACAAUAAUAACCUCUCUUACUAUAGAAAAUAUGAUUACCUACUACUAUACAACAGUCACUAGGCUACACAACAGUCACUAGGCUAUUGCAACUACCAUUGAAUUUACCACAGUGAGUUUGCUACCGGGCAGCCGGGCCAUGGCAUAUUCCCUAUAUUCCCACCGUACUGGAUGGGGUAAUCAAUUAACUAGGUGCCGGCCAUUUCUGUGAGCCAGUUGCACAUCUCUCACUCGCUGUAUCAUCUUGGUGGAAAAAGUCACACCCAUAAUACAUGCUGAUUCAAUGGACUGGAUAAUGUCUGACAUUAUGAUAGUACCUACAUGUUUCACUGUGAGAGCACCAUUGUAGUUACAGUAACAAGCUUACAUAUACAUGAACACACUCAGAGCAAAAACAUUGUCAACCUCUGUUGCAUUCCACUAAAUGCUAACCGGAUACUAUAAAUACAGUCACUACUUCUACUAAAAGACAUUGGCUUUUCUACUAGCAUAAAAAUAAUUUUGGACAGAUGAAGCAAGCACAACAUAUUCUUCAGGAAAAUUACCCUAUCUAGUCAAAUAAAUCAUGCUUGCAGUGUGCCAAGGACAAAUCACACCACUAUACCUCGGUGGUGAGAAACAUCAGAUACAGAGACAUGGGGGUGUUCUCCCACUCCUUGGCCAUGCUGUCUGAGAUGAUGCUGAAGUUGCAGAUCUUCUCAUAGAUUGAUUCUCCUGUUGUUCCAGCAUUUCUUUGAAACAAGAAAUUAUAACCACACCAUUAGUUGUCCUUUAUUCAAAUAGAGAUAAUGGAUUGACUAAUGUGAAACAAUACUUGGCUUUGUGAGAAUAGUACUUACGGGAAAAUUACAGCAAAUCUCUCAUUUAUGGCAGUGUACAUAGAUUCGACCAACGUUGUGUUGAGGUCUGUGAUGUCUCCAUUUGUUGACCUACAGAACCCUUAUUCCUGCAUAAAGAUGACAAUGUACGAUGGUAUCCUCUGCCAUCCUUCCU